AAUAAGAUGCCUGAUUAAAGGGCUAUCUUGAUAGGGUAGAUUAUGUUAUAAACUCUUAUUA
RNAcentral lists this transfer RNA (61 nucleotides) under Pirkimerus japonicus. RNAcentral describes it as "tRNA-Ile". Lineage: Eukaryota; Metazoa; Arthropoda; Insecta; Hemiptera; Blissidae. The record is from RNAcentral.